Molecule: ribosomal RNA, 253 nt
Filed under: uncultured bacterium
Lineage: Bacteria
Description: partial 16S ribosomal RNA
Rfam family: Bacterial small subunit ribosomal RNA
Source: RNAcentral
UACAGAGGUCUCAAGCGUUGUUCGGAUUCAUUGGGCGUAAAGGGUGCGUAGGCGGCGCGGUAAGUCGGGUGUGAAAUCUCGGGGCUUAACUCCGAAACUGCAUUCGAUACUGCCGUGCUUGAGGACUGGAGAGGAGACUGGAAUUUACGGUGUAGCGGUGAAAUGCGUAGAUAUCGUAAGGAAGAUCAGUGGCGAAGGCGGGUCUCUGAACAGUUCCUGACGCUGAGGCACGAAGGUCAGGGGAGCAAACGGG